RNAcentral lists this unclassified non-coding RNA (310 nucleotides) under plant metagenome. RNAcentral's name for it is "partial contains 5.8S ribosomal RNA, internal transcribed spacer 2, and large subunit ribosomal RNA". The stretch from base 1 to 105 matches the Rfam family "5.8S ribosomal RNA", at positions 50 to 154 of the family's 154-position model. The record is from RNAcentral.
GAAAUGCGAUAAGUAAUGUGAAUUGCAGAAUCCAGUGAAUCAUCGAAUCUUUGAACGCACAUUGCGCCCGCCAGCAUUCUGGCGGGCAUGCCUGUUCGAGCGUCAUUUCAACCCUCGACCUCCCCUUGGGGAGGUCGGCGUUGGGGACCGGCAGCACACCGCCGGCCCUGAAAUGGAGUGGCGGCCCGUCCGCGGCGACCUCUGCGUAGUAAUACAGCUCGCACCGGAACCCCGACGCGGCCACGCCGUAAAACACCCAACUUCUGAACGUUGACCUCGAAUCAGGUAGGACUACCCGCUGAACUUAAGC